This 69-nucleotide transfer RNA is filed under the name Ictidomys tridecemlineatus (thirteen-lined ground squirrel). Its description in RNAcentral is "Spermophilus tridecemlineatus (thirteen-lined ground squirrel) tRNA". It matches the Rfam family "tRNA". Rfam says of the family: Transfer RNA (tRNA) molecules are approximately 80 nucleotides in length. Their secondary structure includes four short double-helical elements and three loops (D, anti-codon, and T loops). Further hydrogen bonds mediate the characteristic L-shaped molecular structure. tRNAs have two regions of fundamental functional importance: the anti-codon, which is responsible for specific mRNA codon recognition, and the 3' end, to which the tRNAs corresponding amino acid is attached (by aminoacyl-tRNA synthetases). tRNAs cope with the degeneracy of the genetic code in two manners: having more than one tRNA (with a specific anti-codon) for a particular amino acid; and 'wobble' base-pairing, i.e. permitting non-standard base-pairing at the 3rd anti-codon position. The record is from Rfam by way of RNAcentral. Lineage: Eukaryota; Metazoa; Chordata; Mammalia; Rodentia; Sciuridae.
GGGGCUAUAGCUCAGUGGCAGAGCACGUCCCUAGCAUGUAUGAGGCACUGGGUUCAACCCUUAGCACCA